UGAAGAUAAAAUAAAAUUCUGCAAAGAAUCUGAGAGUUUUUAAUGUCCUCUUGGCUUAAAAUGAGUUGGAAUUGUUUGGUGGUAAUUUUUCUUUCUUUUAUCCUUAAACAUAUUAAAGAGAAAAAUGAAAAUAACUUAUUUUGAAUAUCUAAAUGCUCCUUUUACAAAAGGGGACGCUUUAGAACGCUUGUCUAGAAAAAGAAGUGAGCUGAAACAUUGUGCUAAUGGGAUUUGCAGCAUAAAAUAUGGCUAAUUUCUCUUGUAUGACUACAGGUGGCAGUGUAGAAGCCAAGAACAAAAAUUGGCAGAAAUUGUGUUCUGUGUACGAGAAUAUGAAGAGUGUACUCAUGACUAAGCACAGGAACCUGGAAAACCACAGACCUGUGCACCUGGAGGACCUACAGGGACAAGCACAAAGUCCUGUCCCUGGGGAGGAACAGUGCCAGACACCAGCCAGGGAUGGCCAGCUGGAAAGCAGCUCCUCAGAAAAGACCCAGGGGCGUGGAGCAGAAGCCAACAAUGUGCCCUUGCCUUGAAAAGGACCAAUUGCAUCCUGGGCUAUGUUAGGAGGACUGGAUUCAGCAGCUGAAGGAAGGGGAUCCCUGGGUGACCCUAAGGUGAUCCUUCCUCUCUACUCAGCCCUGAUGAGAGCACAUCUGGAGUGCUGGGUCGUGUUUUGGACUCUGCAGCAAAAGAGAGACAGAGCUACUAGAGACUUGCCUUCAGGUGAAGUGACACAAAAAUGGUGAAGGGUCUGGAACAUCCCACCUGUGAGCAAAGGCUGGGAGAGCUGGGACUGUUCUUCCUGGAGAAAAGAAGGCUCUGAGGGAGGAGCAUAAAUGUGUUCAAGUGCCUGAAGGGCCAAAGCAGACAGAGCCAGGCUCUUCUCAGUGCUGCACAGGGACAGGAACAGAGACAGUGGCCCCAAACUGAAGCACAGGAGGCUCCAUCUGGAUGUCAGGAAUCACUUUCUCACUGUGAGGGUGACGGAGUGCUGGCACAGGUUGUCCAGAGAGGUUGUAGAGCCUCUGUCCCUGGAGGUGUUCGAAAGCUCUCUGAAGGUGGUCCUGGGCAAUGGUCUGCAGGUGCCCCUGUUUGAGCUUGGGACCUGGACCAGGUGAGCUCCAGAGGUUUGUUCCAACCUAAACUAUUUUGUGAUCUUGUAGAUGUGCUAACAUGCCUCCUCUGAGGUAUUUCUUUACAACAGAGAAGGUGGAAAUUUCCUUCACUACUCUUGCAUCUGCAUCUGUUUAUUUAGCCCUCAAAAUAUCUUCUAAAAUUUGUUUUUUUAAUUUAUAAAAUUAUUUUAUAUUAAUGUCUAAAAACUGUUUUUUGUUUUAGAAGGCUUAGGUAAUAGUUCUGUUCCUCUGUAGCACUGAAAGGUCUGUGAGUAGUUCAGUGCACAGCCUACACAACUCCAGUGUUUGCUGACACAAGUAAACAACAGUGUUGCAAACACCACUGCUCUCUGGAACAUAAAUUCACCCACUGGGGGCAAAACAACUAUCAAAACCCUCUAAACAUAUCCAAGCUCCUAGAUAUAAAUUUGUGUACAUUAUCUGACCACACUUCUGGUGCACUGGGAUCAGAUGGGUCAUUCUUGGAUAGCUGAAUACUUCUUUCACCUCUGAGUUCUUAUUAUUUUUUCUUUUGCACUUGAUUGUCACCUUGUCUUUACACUGAUAUAUGUAAUUCCAGCCACUCUUGCUUGCAGCCAUAAGGUGGUUUUGAGACAGUUGUACAUAGUGAACAAUGUACCAAUCUGAUUGUUACUACUCUACAAGUCUCUCCUGUCUCUUCCCAUCUCCUCUCCCUCUUGUCCAAGUAGCAAAAUGCUGAUUAAGUUCCUUUCACUUGGAAAUUUUGCUCUGAUUACAGACAUGACAGCUUUUUGUUUCCUUUCCUUUUCUUUUUCUUUUUUUUUCCUUCACCUGCUUCCAGGUAGAAGUACUGGUGAUCUUUCUCACUGUUAUUUUGAAGUGAUUUAUUUGAUGCUAUUUAUUCUCAGGAACACUUGUGUUUAGGUAGUGACUCAGUAGUCUGGAUGCCCUGGUGGAGGUUGCUGGUUUGGUGGACACACUCAUACUGGUUUAUGUCAGCACAGAAUUUCUCCUGUAAUGUUGACUCAAGAUAAAUAUUUUAAAGGAUAUAAACUUGAACUGUUCAUAGCAUUUCUUUCUUUAACUGUUUCCUUUUGGAUUUUUUUUGGUGCAAUUUUAAAUAAGAGAACUUGUUCCAUCUUUGGAAGAGUUAUCAUAAGUAUUUUCUGGGUUUUCCUCCUCUUUCUUCCUGCCACAAUUUAUCAAACCAUUAAUUGUCAUUUGUACUGAAGUAGUCUAUCAGUUAAAAUAAACCUGCUUGCUGUGAGCUGGGCUAUAUUAAU
This 2383-nucleotide long non-coding RNA is filed under the name Parus major (Great Tit). RNAcentral's name for it is "lncRNA (ENSPMJG00000010802.1)". The record is from RNAcentral. Lineage: Eukaryota; Metazoa; Chordata; Aves; Passeriformes; Paridae.